This 782-nucleotide ribosomal RNA is filed under the name uncultured bacterium. RNAcentral describes it as "bacterial SSU rRNA". It matches the Rfam family "Bacterial small subunit ribosomal RNA", at positions 90 to 867 of the family's 1533-position model. The record is from RNAcentral.
GUAGCAUGGCGAAAGGGGCAGUAACACCUAGGCAAUCUACCCUCGGGUCCGGGAUAUGCGGCGGAAACGCCGAGUAAUACUGGGAGUCGUUUGGGGACGGCAUCGUUCCUUGAUGAAAGGUCCGCUGCCCGAGGAGGAGCUUAGGUCCCAUCAGCUAGUUGGUAGGGUAACGGCCUACCAAGGCUCUGACGGGUAGAGGGUGUGAGAGCACGACCCUCGCCACUGGCACUGAGACACUGCCCAGACACCUACGGGUGGCUGCAGUCGAGAAUCUUCGGCAAUGAGCGCAAGCUUGACCGAGCGACGCCGCGUGGAGGAUGAAGGCCUUCGGGUUGUAAACUCCUGUCAGAGGGGAGGAAAGUGAGGCGGGCUCUCCCGCUUUAUUGACCUAGCCCCAGAGGAAGGACGGGCUAAAUUCGUGCCAGCAGCCGCGGUAAUACGAAUCGUCCUAACGUUGUUCGGAUUCACUGGGUUUAAAGGGCGCGUAGGCGGUGCGUUAAGUCGGUGGUGAAAUACUUUGGCUCAACCAGAGAAUUGCCGCUGAAACUGGCGCGCUCGAGGGAGGUAGAGGUGCAUGGAACUUCCGGUGGAGCGGUGAAAUGCGUUGAUAUCGGAAGGAACACCUGUGGCGAAAGCGGUGCACUGGACCUCUUCUGACGCUGAUGCGCGAAAGCCAGGGGAGCGAACGGGAUUAGAUACCCCGGUAGUCCUGGCCAUAAACGAUGGGGACUAGAGAGUAGAUGCUCCGAUGUGUUUACUCUCGAAGCAAAAGUGAUAAGUCC